UGGGGAAUAUUGCGCAAUGGGGGAAACCCUGACGCAGCAACGCCGCGUGCGGGAUGAAGGCCUUCGGGUUGUAAACCGCUUUCAGCAGGGACGAUUAUGACGGUACCUGCAGAAGAAGCCCCGGCUAACUACGUGCCAGCAGCCGCGGUAAUACGUAGGGGGCAAGCGUUAUCCGGAUUCAUUGGGCGUAAAGCGCGCGCAGGCGGACCGUUAAGCGGGACCUCUAAUCUCAGGGCUCAACCUUGAGCCGGGUCCCGAACUGGCGUGUCUCGGGUUCGGUAGGGGAGGUCGGAAUUCCCGGUGUAGCGGUGGAAUGCGCAGAUAUCGGGAAGAACACCGAUGGCGAAGGCAGACCUCUGGGCCGCAACCGACGCUGAGGCGCGAAAGCUAGGGGAGCGAACAGGAUUAGAUACCC
Molecule: ribosomal RNA, 415 nt
Filed under: uncultured bacterium
Lineage: Bacteria
Description: bacterial SSU rRNA
Rfam family: Bacterial small subunit ribosomal RNA
Source: RNAcentral